GAUUAACGCUGGCGGCGUGCCUAAUACAUGCAAGUCGAACGCGCAUUUAUGCGAGUGGCGGACGGCUGAGUAACACGUUGGUACCUGCCCUUCACUUGGGGAUAAGCUCUGGAAACGGAGUCUAAUACCCAAUACCCUCUUCGGAGGAAAGAUUUAUCGGUGAAGGAGGGGCCUGCGCAUGAUUAGCUUGUUGGUGAGGUAACGGCUCACCAAGGCGACGAUCAGUAGCUGGUCUGAGAGGAUGAUCAGCCACAUUGGGACUGAGACACGGCCCAGACNCCUACGGGAGGCAGCAGUGGGGAAUCUUGCGCAAUGCGCGAAAGCGUGACGCAGCAACGCCGCGU
This 344-nucleotide ribosomal RNA is filed under the name uncultured bacterium. RNAcentral's name for it is "bacterial SSU rRNA". It matches the Rfam family "Bacterial small subunit ribosomal RNA", at positions 28 to 402 of the family's 1533-position model. The record is from RNAcentral.